RNAcentral lists this ribosomal RNA (205 nucleotides) under uncultured bacterium. Its description in RNAcentral is "partial 16S ribosomal RNA". It matches the Rfam family "Bacterial small subunit ribosomal RNA", at positions 568 to 774 of the family's 1533-position model. The record is from RNAcentral.
UCCGUAGGCGGGCUGAUAAGUCAGUGGUGAAAGCCGACAGCUUAACUGUCGAACUGCCAUUGAUACUGUCAGUCUUGAGUAUAUUUGAGGUAGCUGGAAUAAGUAGUGUAGCGGUGAAAUGCAUAGAUAUUACUUAGAACACCAAUUGCGAAGGCAGGUUACCAAGAUAUAACUGACGCUGAUGGACGAAGCGUGGGAGCGAACA